RNAcentral lists this unclassified non-coding RNA (200 nucleotides) under soil metagenome. RNAcentral describes it as "partial contains internal transcribed spacer 2 and large subunit ribosomal RNA". The record is from RNAcentral.
UGUAGUAUCAAUCCCUCAGGUUUCUGGGAAGAUUGGAUUUGGGUGUCUGCCAUGCCAAUGGCUCGCCUUAAAUGAAUUAGUGGGAAAGUUGACCCAGUCGGGAGUAAUAAGUUUCUCUCGAUCAAGUUGAUUAGACUGCUCAUAACAACUAUAUUUAUGACUCUGACCUCAAAUCAGGUAGGACUACCCGCUGAACUUAA